GAUGAAGAACGCAGCGAAAUGCGAUAAGUAAUGUGAAUUGCAGAAUUCAGUGAAUCAUCGAAUCUUUGAACGCACAUUGCGCCCGCCAGUAUUCUGGCGGGCAUGCCUGUUCGAGCGUCAUUUCAACCAUCAAGCCCCAGGCUUGUGUUGGGGACCUGCGGCUGCCGCAGGCCCUGAAAACCAGUGGCGGGCUCGCUGUCACACCGGGCGUAGUAGAUUUUAUCUCGCUCAGGGCGUGCUGCGGGUUCCGGCCGUUAAAAAGCCUUUUUUACCCAAGGUUGACCUCGGAUCAGGUAGGAAGACCCGCUGAACUUAAGCAUAUCAAUAAGCGGGA
Molecule: unclassified non-coding RNA, 334 nt
Filed under: soil metagenome
Description: partial contains 5.8S ribosomal RNA, internal transcribed spacer 2, and large subunit ribosomal RNA
Rfam family: 5.8S ribosomal RNA (bases 1-120)
Source: RNAcentral